UAGAGGAAGUAAAAGUCGUAACAAGGUUUCCGUAGGUGAACCUGCGGAAGGAUCAUUAUCGAAUAAACUUGAUCAGGUUGUUGCUGGCCUUUUGAAGGCAUGUGCACACUUGUCAUCUUUAUUUCUCCAACUGUGCACAUAUUGUAGACCAUGGAUGUUGUUGCUAAUAGCAGAUUUGAGAAGUGCUCAGCUUUCUCUUAUGCAAGGUCUAUGUUAUCCAUCUUUUACACACUGUUUUAGAAUGUUUUUUUYUGGAAAUACAAAUGUACAACUUUCAGCAACGGAUCUCUUGGUUCUCGCAUCGAUGAAGAACGCAGCGAAAUGCGAUAAGUAAUGUGAAUUGCAGAAUUCAGUGAAUCAUCGAAUCUUUGAACGCAACUUGCGCUCCUUGGUACUCUGAGGAGCAUGCCUGUUUGAGUGUCAUUAAACUUCUUCUCAACCCAUCCAGUUUCUCUGUGUGUGGGCUUUGGACAAUUGGGGGCUUGCUGGUUACUAUUUGUCCAGCUCUCCUGAAAAGCAUUAGCGGCAUCUGGGCUGCUUGCAGGUGUGAUAACUUGUCUACACCUUUGCAGUGGCUGCAUUUGUGCUGCUUCAGAGGGCAUUGAUGAAAUUUGACCUCAAAUCAGGUAGGACUACCCGCUGAACUUAAGCAUAUCAAUAAGCGGAAGAAAAGAAACUAACAAGGAUUCCCCUAGUAACUGCGAGUGAAGCGGGAAAAGCUCAAAUUUGAAAUCUGGCGGUCUUUGAUCGUCCGAGUUGUAAUCUAGAGAAGUUGUUACCUGUGCAGGACCAUGUACAAGUCUCCUGGAAUGGGGCAUCAUAGAGGGUGAGAAUCCCGUCUUUGACAUGGACUACCUGCAUGUUGUGGUGCGCUCUCAAAGAGUCGAGUUGUUUGGGAAUGCAGCUCAAAAUGGGUGGUAAAUGCCAUCUAAAGCUAAAUAUUGGCGAGAGACCGAUAGCGAACAAGUACCGUGAGGGAAAGAUGAAAAGCACUUUGGAAAGAGAGUUAAACAGUACGUGAAAUUGCUGAAAGGGAAACGCUUGAAGUCAGUCACAUUGGCCAGAAAUCAGCCUUGCUUUUGUGAGGUGUACUUUCUGUUUGAUGGGUCAGCAUCAAUUUCGAUCGCUGGAUAAAGUCUCUGGGAAUGUGGCAUCUUCGGAUGUGUUAUAGCCCAUUGUCACAUGCAGCGGUUGGGAUUGAGGAACUCAGCACGCCGAAAGGCCGGGUUUCGACCCAUGUCCGUGCUUAGGAUGCUGGCAUAAUGGCUUUAAUCGACCCGUCUUGAAACACGGACCAAGGAGUCUAACAUGCCUGCGAGUGUUUGGGUGGAAAACCCAUGCGCGCAAUGAAAGUGAAAGUUGAGAUCCCUCUAGUAGGGGAGCAUCGACGCCCGGACCAGACCUUUUGUGACGGAUCCGCGGUAGAGCAUGCAUGUUGGGACCCGAAAGAUGGUGAACUAUGCCUGAAUAGGGUGAAGCCAGAGGAAACUCUGGUGGAGGCUCGUAGCGAUUCUGACGUGCAAAUCGAUCGUCAAAUUUGGGUAUAGGGGCGAAAGACUAAUCGAACCAUCUAGUAGCUGGUUCCUGCCGA
Molecule: ribosomal RNA, 1591 nt
Filed under: Inocybe grammata
Lineage: Eukaryota; Fungi; Basidiomycota; Agaricomycetes; Agaricales; Inocybaceae
Description: eukaryotic LSU rRNA
Source: RNAcentral